AGACAGCCAGGAUGUUGGCUUAGAAGCAGCCAUCAUUUAAAGAAAGCGUAAUAGCUCACUGGUCGAGUCGGCCUGCGCGGAAGAUGUAACGGGGCUAAACCAUGCACCGAAGCUGCGGCAGCGACACUCAGGUGUUGUUGGGUAGGGGAGCGUUCUGUAAGCCUGCGAAGGUGGCCUGUGAGGGUUGCUGGAGGUAUCAGAAGUGCGAAUGCUGACAUAAGUAACGAUAAAGCGGGUGAAAAGCCCGCUCGCCGGAAGACCAAGGGUUCCUGUCCAACGUUAAUCGGGGCAGGGUGAGUCGACCCCUAAGGCGAGGCCGAAAGGCGUAGUCGAUGGGAAACGGGUUAAUAUUCCCGUACUUGGUGUUACUGCGAAGGGGGGACGGAGAAGGCUAUGUUGGCCGGGCGACGGUUGUCCCGGUUUAAGCGUGUAGGCUGGUUUUCCAGGCAAAUCCGGAAAAUCAAGGCUGAGGCGUGACGACGAGGCACUACGGUGCUGAAGCAACAAAUGCCCUGCUUCCAGGAAAAGCCUCUAAGCAUCAGGUAACACGAAAUCGUACCCCAAACCGACACAGGUGGUCAGGUAGAGAAUACCAAGGCGCUUGAGAGAACUCGGGUGAAGGAACUAGGCAAAAUGGUGCCGUAACUUCGGGAGAAGGCACGCUGACAUGUAGGUGAAGUGAUUUACUCAUGGAGCUGAAGUCAGUCGAAGAUACCAGCUGGCUGCAACUGUUUAUUAAAAACACAGCACUGUGCAAACACGAAAGUGGACGUAUACGGUGUGACGCCUGCCCGGUGCCGGAAGGUUAAUUGAUGGGGUCAGCGCAAGCGAAGCUCCUGAUCGAAGCCCCGGUAAACGGCGGCCGUAACUAUAACGGUCCUAAGGUAGCGAAAUUCCUUGUCGGGUAAGUUCCGACCUGCACGAAUGGCGUAAUGAUGGCCAGGCUGUCUCCACCCGAGACUCAGUGAAAUUGAACUCGCUGUGAAGAUGCAGUGUACCCGCGGCAAGACGGAAAGACCCCGUGAACCUUUACUAUAGCUUGACACUGAACAUUGAGCCUUGAUGUGUAGGAUAGGUGGGAGGCUUUGAAGUGUGGACGCCAGUCUGCAUGGAGCCGACCUUGAAAUACCACCCUUUAAUGUUUGAUGUUCUAACGUGGACCCGUGAUCCGGGUUGCGGACAGUGUCUGGUGGGUAGUUUGACUGGGGCGGUCUCCUCCUAAAGAGUAACGGAGGAGCACGAAGGUUGGCUAAUCCUGGUCGGACAUCAGGAGGUUAGUGCAAUGGCAUAAGCCAGCUUGACUGCGAGCGUGACGGCGCGAGCAGGUGCGAAAGCAGGUCAUAGUGAUCCGGUGGUUCUGAAUGGAAGGGCCAUCGCUCAACGGAUAAAAGGUACUCCGGGGAUAACAGGCUGAUACCGCCCAAGAGUUCAUAUCGACGGCGGUGUUUGGCACCUCGAUGUCGGCUCAUCACAUCCUGGGGCUGAAGUAGGUCCCAAGGGUAUGGCUGUUCGCCAUUUAAAGUGGUACGCGAGCUGGGUUUAGAACGUCGUGAGACAGUUCGGUCCCUAUCUGCCGUGGGCGCUGGAGAACUGAGGGGGGCUGCUCCUAGUACGAGAGGACCGGAGUGGACGCAUCACUGGUGUUCGGGUUGUCAUGCCAAUGGCACUGCCCGGUAGCUAAAUGCGGAAGAGAUAAGUGCUGAAAGCAUCUAAGCACGAAACUUGCCCCGAGAUGAGUUCUCCCUGAGACUUUAGGUCUCCUGAAGGAACGUUGAAGACGACGACGUUGAUAGGCCGGGUGUGUAAGCGCAGCGAUGCGUUGAGCUAACCGGUACUAAUGAACCGUGAGGCUUAACCUU
Molecule: ribosomal RNA, 1859 nt
Filed under: Salmonella enterica
Lineage: Bacteria; Pseudomonadati; Pseudomonadota; Gammaproteobacteria; Enterobacterales; Enterobacteriaceae
Description: partial 23S ribosomal RNA
Rfam family: Bacterial large subunit ribosomal RNA
Source: RNAcentral